Molecule: ribosomal RNA, 253 nt
Filed under: uncultured bacterium
Lineage: Bacteria
Description: partial 16S ribosomal RNA
Rfam family: Bacterial small subunit ribosomal RNA
Source: RNAcentral
UACGUAGGUGGCAAGCGUUGUCCGGAUUUAUUGGGUUUAAAGGGUGCGUAGGCGGCUUUGUAAGUCAGUGGUGAAAUAUGGCAGCUUAACUGUCAAGGUGCCAUUGAUACUGCGGAGCUUGAGUACAGAUGAGGUAGGCGGAAUUGACGGUGUAGCGGUGAAAUGCUUAGAUAUCGUCAAGAACACCUAUAGCGAAGGCAGCUUACUAGGCUGUAACUGACGCUGAGGCACGAAGGUGUGGGGAUCAAACAGG